Molecule: ribosomal RNA, 373 nt
Filed under: uncultured organism
Description: bacterial SSU rRNA
Rfam family: Bacterial small subunit ribosomal RNA
Source: RNAcentral
CGUAGGUGGCAAGCGUUGUCCGGAUUUACUGGGCGUAAAGAGCGCGCAGGCGGUCGUUCAAGUCGCGUGUGAAAGCCCCCGGCUCAACUGGGGAGGGUCACGCGAUACUGAUCGACUCGAAGGCAGGAGAGGGUAGUGGAAUUCCCGGUGUAGUGGUGAAAUGCGUAGAUAUCGGGAGGAACACCAGUGGCGAAGGCGACUACCUGGCCUGUUUCUUGACGCUGAGGCGCGAAAGCUAGGGGAGCAAACGGGAUUAGAUACCCCGGUAGUCCUAGCCGUAAACGAUGGACACUAGGUGUUGGUGGUAUCAACCCCGCCAGUGCCGAAGCUAACGCAUUAAGUGUCCCGCCUGGGGAGUACGGCCGCAAGGCUA